Formica exsecta is the source of this 849-nucleotide long non-coding RNA. RefSeq lists it as uncharacterized. The record is from RefSeq and is a predicted model, not a curated record. NCBI's taxonomy places the organism in Eukaryota, Metazoa, Arthropoda, Insecta, Hymenoptera, Formicidae. The transcript has 3 exons.
GUUGGCAACAUUGAUGAUAAGUACCUUAUUUUACAUUUACUAUUAUUGUGUCAUUAUAUACGUUAUAAAUACAUGAUACUUUAAGUUACUGUAUCCUGCUAUAUCCUGAUCAGAAGUAAUAUAUAGUAAGAGAAAAUUUAUAGGUUGUUUCAAUUUAUUCUGUUUCAGAAAAGGUGAUUCCAAUUUGUGUGGAGAUAUUAAAGUAUGUAAAGAGCAUUCACAAAAGGCUGAAAACUUUGGGAAGAGGCAUUAUUAAUGCGGAAGAACUUAAUAUGAAUAUAUUCGAUGACAUACUUCCGAUCAAUUCUAUACAGAACCUUAAAAAGUUUGAGGAAAACAUGGAAAAUGUUGAAACGAAAGCGAAUUUUGUCGAAUUUAUGAACCAUAUUGGUGGAAAAGUGGCAAAAAUUUGGUGCAACGGUGUAUGAGCCGUUUAUUUACAAAUGAAUUCGGCAUAUCUUGUUCUUGGUGUGGUCGCGGGAAUAAUUAUCGCAUGUGCGAUUUGAAAUGCAUCUGCAUCCUAAAAGGUAUUUUAAGAGCCAGGGUGUCGACGAAUGCGACUUCGAAAUUGUAGCAAGCGAAUGGUUCCGCCUUAGCAAGCUGCGAUAUAACCGAGAAAGUAAAAAGAUAUUACUAAAAUUAAAAUUCAAGAUAAAGGCAAUCAGAGCCAAGCGCGGUAAGUGGAGCGCAACAAGCUUUAUUCAGUGAUCAAUCUUUAUAAUAGAGUAUACAAAAACCGGACGUUUCGGCUCCUUUUUUGGGCUAUCUUCAGCGCAAAACAAUUAAAAUUAGCUUAUGACAUAACGGUCGUGUGUUCUGAUUCGGAUUGUAAACAUGGUCGCAAAUAGA